This is a long non-coding RNA of Pimephales promelas (fathead minnow), 960 nucleotides long. RefSeq lists it as uncharacterized. NCBI's taxonomy places the organism in Eukaryota, Metazoa, Chordata, Actinopteri, Cypriniformes, Leuciscidae. The record is from RefSeq and is a predicted model, not a curated record.
UCUCAUAGCAGUUCGUGACGGUUAUAUUAAAUAUAUUUUAUUUUUAAUUUGACCAUUUUGUUUAUAGGGUGUAAUGUGACCUGGAUUUACUGAGAUUCAUCCAGACAUCAGCCACCUGUUGGGGAAAUCUGCUUUAUGUUCACGAAUCCAAGCGAUAAUGCGACAUGUCAGGUUGUGUCAGCUGCCACCACCCCUCCAGGACGUCAGAGUGGCGCACACUCGUCGAAAAGCUGUCAUCUCUUUCUGGUGUCUGCAGUGAAGGAUCAAAGCGGGAACAGGCAGCCAGCAAGAGAGAGAGAGAGAGAGAGAGAGAGAGAGAGAGAGAGAGAGAGAGAGAGAGUUUGGGGUGAACCAGAGGACGCAGCCUCUCCAGUUAAACAGGGUAUAACCCAGUUGCUGCCAGAUUGAAGGAAUGCUGCUUCUCUGUAAACAGAUUCAAUUAAGACAUCAAACCGUACGAUGAAAAAGAAUGCCGAUGAGGAAAAAGCCAGGUUCAGGGUCGAACCGCAUGCCUCCCCUGCUUUUCUCUGAUUUAGAAACAGACUUCUUUUGAUUAAAUAAUCAUCGCUUCGUAUAAAUGCAAGUUGCGGACCAGACGCGCGCGUAGACACAGAUGAAAUUUAAUGAGCUCGGUAAGAUGCCGCAGAAGCGUUGCUGUUUUUAAGACCUCUGAAUAAAAGCUCUUUAGAUCUGGGGCGCUCAUGCUGCGUUCCACAGAUUUCCAACGUCCUACUUGGAAAAGUGCGAUAGAAUGCCAAAAGCCGGACUUCCAAUUGGGAAACGAGUGUGGAAAUCCUACUUUUUCCAUAGCACUCUUUAUGCACUAUUCUGUGCCAUUUUGUAGCAAUAAGUGUGUUCACACUGAAAGUUGCCAAAAGAAAAAGUGCAUUUACUUAAAGUCCCUGUGAAAUCAAAAUUGAACCUAUUUACUUUGUUAGCGCAUAUUACUAAUCUUGUGGU